Molecule: long non-coding RNA, 22361 nt
Filed under: Sorghum bicolor (sorghum)
Lineage: Eukaryota; Viridiplantae; Streptophyta; Magnoliopsida; Poales; Poaceae
Description: long non-coding RNA (SBIC_LNC015288)
Source: RNAcentral
AACCCUUCAGGAAUAAGUUCCAACUCUCAGACUCUGAUAAGAAUGCCAACUCAAAUGUAUAUCUUGAUUCCACAGCUUGUGCAACCUUUCGAUCACGAGUGGUUAACACAAUCCUUGUUUCAGGUGCGCCACAUUUUAGCUGCACCAUGAACUGUUCCCAGUCAUGUCUGUCCUCAUGCCAAGCAUCAUCAAGGAUAAGAAGAAACUUCUUAUUGCUCAACUUCUCGGAGAUUUUUUGGACCAUGUGCUGUGGGGGAUGACGAUCUGAAUUAUCUCCAACAAUCGUUUCAAAUAGCUUGCCGAUGAGCUUCUGAACAUCAAACUCUUGAGACACAUGGACCCAGAAUAUUUCACCUCCAAAGUGCUCCUUUAUCUUGACGUCAUGGCAAAUGUGUUUGGCCAAAGUAGUUUUGCCUGACCCCCCUAAUCCGAUGAUAGAAACUAUCAUGUUGUUCUCUCCAGCAUUACAUUCUACAAGCUUAGAUAUGAUUUCAUCCUUUUCUUGAUCCCUAAGGGGUAUUUUGGACUCUGGAACCUUGCUCAACCAGGUCAUCUCUCCAACUGUCUUGUACCUAGCACCAACAUGUUGAUCCCUUGUUGGAACUAAAGUAUUGAAAUCACUUCUUUGCUUGACGAUUGCAGCAAAUCUAACCUUGAUUGCCUUGAUCUUAUGAGCCAUCUUGUAUCGGAAUGCAAAUGACUUUGGUUUUGCACAGAAGCAACCGGCUAUACCACUCUUGUCAUCAUCUCUUUCCAUCUUCUGUUUCUCAGCUUCUAGCUGGACUUCUUGUAGUAUAUCGUCAAUGUCAUAAGCCACAUCUUUCAAUUUUAUCACCCAGUGAGACUGUGUCUCACUCUGUAUUGCUCUGUCAUACGCUGCCGACAGCCAGCCUGUAAUGUCUGCGUGUAUAUCCUGGAGCUGGCAGAGAUCUCUUUUUACACCGGCUAUGGCAGCAAACUCAGUGGCUAACAGUGAAACUAGCUUGUCACCUGCAGCCUUCAACACUCCAGAUGCUAAAGCAGCCUCCAUCCCACUCAUUAUGUCAAAGAAACUGUUGCCUAAACCCCUGCAGAUGAAAUUGAAAAACAAGCGGUUAGAUUGAGUUUCGCAAAUCCAAAACUAGUUAGGUGGCAGCAGUAAUGUUUCUUAGGAAAAAUAACUUUUUAGGAAAUGUGGCGGCAGAAAUGUUCCAAUAAUAAUUCUCAACUCUGGAAUAAAUUAACGGCCGACAAAAUAUCUGAGAGUUACAGGCCACGCCGCCGCCCGGUCCAGACGCGGCGGCCAUGUCCUCUCUCUAGCGCCAGGCCAGCUGCAGCACCCUGCUGCCAUGCAGCCUGCCCUAGGGGGCUGUUGUUCCUCCCAUCUAAUCCCCUCUGACUCCCCCAAUCUACCCUCUAAUUAAGUGAAGUCACCCCAGAUGGGACAUGUACAACAUGAGUGAUUUGCAGAUUAUAUGUUUCGAACGAAAUGGACAAAUAUUGUCCGUAUCGGCUAAAUAUCUUAUAUGGAUAACACAAAAAGUCAUUUGGAUGCUGGAAAAUAGAUCUACUAGACCGAUCGGCGUGAAAACAAAUGGAAAAUUAAUUUGCAUACCAGGUGAACGAGGACACACACAGCAGAAGCAGCAGAGCACCGACAGUAUGACACUUUGAUGCAACCAGAUAAGGGGCUUUUUGUUCUUCUUCUUGUGAAAGAGGUGAAGGGAAUCAGUAUGCUUGACGCUCACUGGGAUUGACACAAAAAAAAAAGAAUGAGUUGGUCAUCGAAGAAAUUCUAGGAUUAACAGAAAAAAAACGUGAGUUGGUGAUUGAAGAAAAUGACCAGGGGAGAAAGCGGGAGGAGAUGUGAGGAAUUAGAUUGUGCGUGUUGUGUUAGGCUUAAACCAAAGCAGAUUAAGUACCUAAACUCAACAACUGCGGCGAGGCUACAACCCAACGAGAAAGAGGAAAUGGAAUUUCGGUGCUUCAGCUUCACUCGAGGAUGCAAAGAAACCUGCAGAUCUGAAAGGCAGGUGGGUGAUGAAGAAAAUGAGCAGGUGGUUGAACCCAACGAGAAGGAGAAACGGGAUUCAGGCAAAGGUCAUCCUCAUUACCUCGGUCGCGUCGGCGGCGGCGACGACGACGAGAGGCCUCCCGCCCCUAGUCGGGUUGUGCGCGGAGGUCGAUGGUCAGUGAACUCACUGCUCACUUCUCACGCGCAUCGAGACUCCACGGAGACGAACUCGAUUGCGACUGAGCACCGGACGAUGCUAGUCGACUGAGUUGGGUGGUGGAUCCCGGCGGCCACUGUGACAGCAUGAUUGCUUUUCGCCGAAAGCGCGUGGCAAGAGCAUCCACUUCAGUGGAUCCAGAAAAUCCAUCCUCUUUCCCUACAAAGUGUUGGCUAGUUUAGUUCCAAUUUUUUUUGGUAAAUUAUAUUUAGGCCUUGUUUAGUUCCAAAAAAUUUUGCAAAAUUUUUCAGAUUCUCCGUCACAUCGAAUCUUUAGACAUAUGCAUGAAGCGUUAAAUAUAGACGAAAAUAAAAACUAAUUACACAGUUUUAUCAGAAUUGACGAGACGAAUCUUUUGAGCCUAGUUAGUCCAUGAUUGGACAAUAUUUGUCAAAUACAAACGAAAUUGGUACUAUUCACAUUUUGCAAAAUAUUUUGCAAGUAAACAAGGCCUUAACAAAUAUUGUUAGGCUCAAAAGAUUUAUCUCGUAAAUUAUAUUUAAACAGUGUAAUUAGUUAUUUUUUAUCUAUAUUUAGUGCUUCAUGUAUAUACCGCAAGAUUUGAUGUGACAGGAAAAUCUAAAAAAUUUUGUUGGGAGUAGUUCACCCAAAAAACCAAAAACUUUUUCAAGAUUCCCCGUUACAUUGAAUCUUGUGGAACAUGAAAUAUAGAUAAAAAAAAUUAAUUGUAUAGUUUAGGCCUUAUUUAGAUCAAAAAGUUUUUGGAUUUUGACACCGUAGCACUUUUAUUUUUAUUUGAAAACAUUAUCCAAUAAUAGAGUAACUAGACUUAAAAGAUUCGUCUCGCGAUUUACAGACAAAAUGUGCAAUUAGUUUUUGUUUUCAUCUAUAUUUAAUGCUUAAAGCAUGUGCCGCGAGAUUCGAUAUGACGGAGAAUCUUGAAAAGUUUUUGGUUGUCUGGGUGAACUAAACAAGGUCUUAGCUGUAAUUUGUGAGACGAAUCUUUUGAGCCUAAUUAAUCCAUGGUUGGAUAAUAAAAUAAAAGCAUUACAGUACCUAUAACUUUUUACCUUCUCAACUAAACGGCCUUACAAAUAAUAAAAGGGGUUAAUUUAGGAAGAAAAAUAAGCUCUAACAUAUUCUCUUUCUAGUACUCUUCCUUGAACUUUUUUUUUCAAUCUCCCAAAAUCUUCCUCUCCCUUAAACUUUCCAUCAUUGUGAUUGAUCCACAAAAAAAUCCAUGUGAACUGCAAAAAGAUGUUGUGGCAGAGUUUAGAAUCAAGGAGAGCUUAUAAACAGAUUUUAAUUCAUGGAUCAGCAGCCUAAUUUUGGACUCUUGACCGGAGACUCUGUAAUUUUAUUUUUAUCUCUUUUGGUGUGCCUUGAGGCCCCUUUUUACUUACUUCUGCACUUUUUUGUCUCUUUUUUAAAACUUCAUUAUUUCAAUAAAAUCCCUGUAGGCGCUGAGACACCUCUAGUUUCCUAAAAAAAACCCAAAUAAAUCUUGCCUAUUUUUCAAACCUAGCUUCUAAUUACGUCAACUCAAUUUUAUACUUUCAAAGUUAUCUCAUAGACAACUGAAAAGAAUUAACGAUAGCAAAAUACUUCAAAUCAUUACAUGUAUACUUUAUUUAUUGACAAUAGCUAGUUCAUCAGUUGUUCAUCAAUUGUUCAUCCAAUGUGCAUCUGGUUAGUCUCACUGAGUUGAUAUGGUGUUUGGUUGCUUUGCGUGAGAACAUAUGUUGCAAGAUACUCCUAUAAAUUAGGCAAUAAACAUAAUCACGAUAUUUUUUAUACAUGCAACUAUCUUUUAUUGCUCUUCAUUUAUUAUAUUAUUAUCCCUUAAUAUUUUUUAAAAGAAAUACACUAAUACCAAUUAAUACAUGCUAGUCGUGCACUGGUAAUGUCAUUAUCUAGAUAACUGGUGUCAAACGACAGCCUGGAGAAGAACAAGAAAUCUAUGGUUUUUUGACAUACUUUUUAUGUCAAAAUAUAUAGAAUAAAUGUCACAACUUAAGGUUUUUGACAUUCAGUUGACAAAAAUUCAAACGUCAAAAAACUCGCGUCACAAAGUGAUCAUGUGACGUUUAUACAUUCAGUGUCACAAGCUUAUGACAUUGGGUUUUAGUGUCAUACAGAUUUAUGACUUUGGUUUAUCGUCAUAAAAUCUUAAGCCUUGCCACAUGGGCAAAUGCCAUGUAGGAUCAAAAGCUGACAUGGCAGGAAAAAAAACGUCACAAAAUAAGUCUUGGUCUGCUAAAACCCACAUACCAGACAGCCCUCCAUAGGUCACAAGAUUUUUUGGGCCCAUAUUUCCUGGGCCAUUGUUUUAGUUCAUUUAUUAUUGGCCCACACAAUUUCAGCCUGUACAAAUUUUUUCACAGCACACAAUUGAACCCAUAUAUUUUUUCAGCCCAAAAUAUUUUCAGCCCAUACAAAUAUCUCCACAUGAUUGCAAUAUCACAAGCACUUCACAUGUCUUAAAAUACAACACAUUACAUCCAUCCACCAAUUCAACACACAGUCUCAAUAUCUCAAAUUAUAACUUGCUAUAGUAGCACCAGCGGUAGCAGCAGCGGUAGCACCAAUAGUGCAAUUGCCACCAAAAUAGCAUCUUUAUCCUUCUAGACACAUAUGUUGCCAAAAUGAGCCUAAUGCAGUUAGACAGCUUACUACUGAGGAUCAGGUGAUGCAAACUUGUUGCCAAACAAGGUCCGAAGGAAACCUUGGAUUUCAAGGCCUUGCUGUUUCAGCUUCUCAGUUUCUUCUUCGUUCUUCUUGCUGCUUCUUCAUUCUUCCUUGCUGCCUCUUUCUGAUCCUCUAAUUGCUUCUGCACAUCAGCCAGCUGUGAUCUUAGUCCAUCUGAUCCCUUCUUCUCAGCUUGCAAUUCACUCUCAAGCUCAUUCACACGAUCAUUCAUUGCAGCAGCUUUGGCAUUUCUCUUCAUCGCUGCGGACUGCAUGCCAACAUUGUGAAGGAAAGUUGAUUUUGGCAUAACAUGAGCUAUAGCUUGAACAGGAGUCUUUGGAUCUUGCCCUUCUUCCGUUGGUUCAGCAACGUAGGCCUCCAUUUGAGCCUAGCAACAAUAGCACCAAAAAAGUUAGAUUUCAGCACUAGUUAUGUAUUUCUAGAACUCAUGUCUAUAGGUAAAGCAACAUAGUGGAAGAAAUGGAAUGGUAUCUAUCGAGUGGAACCUUCUAUGCUAUAUAUGAAAUGAUCUUCCAUGUUGUUGUAAAGAAUUGUGUACUCAUUUUUCUUUUGAUUUAUUUCUCUAAACAUGCUAAACUGAGUGGCAAUCUAGUGGCUAUCCAAACUUACAAUGUGGCUAUGAUGUUGUUCAUCACAGUAGGAAAUAAGAAAUGGUACUCACAAUGGCAUCCAUUGCUUGCUCAUUAAAACCUGACUUGCUGCUGCAGUGGGUGUCCUUGAAAAUAUCAAUCGCAGUUGGUGGCGCAUCCUUAAAUUUAGUUUGCUUCUGAAAUUACACAAAAAUAGAAAACAAACAGCAGCAACAACACAUUAGCAGCAACAUUAACAUUUAAUUAUUUGUAUCCUAAGAUAGCAUGACACCAGCAGUAUCUUAACAUUUAUUGAAUCACAUAUUUCAUUACAACUGACAUGCUAUAAAUCUAAAACUAUGUUUGAUUUCCAUUAUGCGAGUAGGCCAUGUAGAAGCAUAAAACAAAUGUAGCCGAAUGACCAAUCCAGUUAUUUACAUGAGUAACUAGACAGUAUUUGCCGAAUCCGCAAUCCAAUUAUUCAUAUCAGUAACUAGCCAAAUCACCAUGAAGUGGAUUCAAAAUACCCUAUUUGCAUACUAGAACAUCCUUGAUGAUUUCAGAUCCUUGAGCAAAUAGACCUAAAUAAAUAGCUUUGCAUAUACACUAGACAUUUUUUUUCAUGCAACAAGCACCAUUUUUGGACACAUACAACCUCCUAUAUGAUUUAUCUUACCAUGACAUAGCAUUGAGCAACAUAGCUUCGAGAUCCUGUCAUUUGGUGAUACUGAACUAGCUCACGGCUGCCUUUGUUUUUUAGACAUUUUUCCUGUAGAAAGACAAAUAUUUAUGAACAAACAAUCCAUAUAUUCUAUAAGGCAACAAUUGUGAUAGAUAUUAAGGAAGGGUACCUUGUGCUUUGGGUUAGACCACAUGUCCACGAGUUGUUUCCACUGCAUGUCAGUCAUAGUCGACAAAGGUGAAGUUAUUCUAACUGCAUUUGCUGGUAUGCCAUUAAAGUAUUGCUUUUUCAGCUUGUAUCUCAUCUAUCGUUGUCCUUUUUUGAGCAAAUCAGACAAUGCAUCUUUCACCGGCACAACGUCUUUGUCAAUGGUGAAUUGACUCUGGACAAGAGCAUGCAUAUAUCAUUAAAGGACAAUCAAAUGAUGUUCUGGGAGUAUGCGGCAGCAGCAGCAUCAACAACAAGCAACACAAACAAGUGUCAACUCUAGAUUAUGCAACACUAUAUAAUAGAAUAAUUUGAAUAUAGAGAUAGACAAAGUAUAUGAUCAGCAAGGAAAAAUACACAAAUUUUUCCACCAAAAAAAUUUAUCAUUGUAGUUUCUAACAAAGUAUAUUGUAAUCCAUAAACCACCAAAAAAGUUAUCUUCAACAGCCAGGUUACUUACACUAAGUUUAUCAUUGUAGUUUCUAACAAGAGGUUUGGCGGCAUCCUCCUUAUAAUGCUUCCAGUGAGUGAAGAUUGGAACAUGGUCCCGUAGAAUAAUACCAGCCUCUGAUGCUAGUUUUGCAGCUUGCAAAGGCUCCUCUGGCCGCAAUUUUCCUUCAGAGAUGUUCACUGGGAUCUUGGCUCUUAACCCUCUUGAAAUCAUAUCCAAAUCUCUGCCCAUGUGUCUCUUGGUGAUACAUCGACCUAUCAUGGAGUUUGGAAAACAAUUAGAUAGAAUCAUAGACCCAUUAAUGUACAUAAACAAAUAAUUAAUAGUGGAGAGAGGGUACAAUCACUUGCCUUCAGUAGACAACUCAUUCUGGUUGUUGGACUGAGUAUUAUUAUUGGCAGCCAUCAGUGCAUCUUCUGUGGAACCAUCUUGUGGGUGUACUAUUGGAACUUCAUCGGCUAAGGCCAAUUCCCUUGUCCUCUGCCUGGUAAUCCUUGCUGGAUCGUCUUGCCCUUGAUGUGCCACUGCCAUCACUCUCUUUGAUGUUCUUGUCGAACUCUUGCUAACUUCAGGUUCCAAGUCCAGCAUGGCCUCCUACAUGAUACAACAAAUUACAAGAGAAUGAAUAAUUCUGCAUAUUUGCUCAUGUACUGCAUAUUUAACAUAAAUGUUGGGCUGUCAUCAAGGUACCUUAUCAAAUGCUCCUUGUUCAACGUCUUCACCAUCUUCAGGUUGAUACAAUGAGCCAGAGUCUUCACGGGUAGUAUUAGUGCCCUUUGGUCUUGAAUUUUUUAGAAUAUUUGCUGCCUCUUGUAUUCCAAGACUGCGGAAGAUCCGACUAUUCCGCAUCACUUGUUCCAUCUUCUGCUUCUCAUAGUCAGUUAGUGGAGCCUCUGUACUUGCACGAGAAAAAGAAAUCAUAGUAAAUUAAGCUUCAGGAUCAAGUCUGGUUGAGGGCCGGGUCUUCGGUUUCCGACCAGGAGCCAUCUUCAUGAGUCUAGGAAGCUUGGAGCGGAGUGCUGAGGAUGUCGUUGGGGGCGCAGGGCCUCUUCGGCUGUGGGCAGUGGAGGGCGGCGGAUCCUCUUUCCAGGCAGUAGAGAGGGCAACAAAGUGGCGGCUGCUGCGAGGAGUGAAUUGGAUUGACUAGGGUUUGGGGGAGCAUGAGCUGAAUAGGUCACGGUAUGGGGGUAAUUUUACUGUGCUAUCCUUAUCCAAAGGAGAGUUGUUGUGGUAUAUGUCUGGAUAGAAAUGACAUUUUCACUCCAAAUUUUUUGGUGUGGCGCGGAGACAUAGCGCCACUACGCGGUUGCGCCAGGCCCAGACAUCCAAAAUUUGGUUUAUGCGCUGCUUACUAGUGUCUGCUAACAAAAAUAUUUUUCUAUAAAAUACGAAAUCGGCUUUUAAAAAUAGGAAAAAAAAUAAUCUCAGGCUGGCUAAUCGCAAGUCGCGUAUCUUUUAGCGUAAAAUCGCGUGCUACGCGGUCCGUGGGAUUCGAACCUGAGACCUCGCCCUCGCGCGUACCCUCCUCUACCACUCCACCUACCACUCAGUUGUGUCUAUAUUAGAGUUUAGUUCCCCAUAUACUAUUAUAAACCAAGCAUAAAUUGAUUAUUUGAGGCUCUAAACGAAUAAAAAUAAAAAAAGUUAUCAACUACAAAGUUUCAUAAUUUUUUAGGAUCUGCAACUUUUAUUUUUGUGGGUUUUUCAUACAAGGUUAUUUCAAACCUUGAUGCUUUAGUUGUAUACACGGAGUAACCGAGGAAGUCUUAUAAAUAGAGAGUCAAGCUCGGGUACUAAUACAACAUCGAAGAUCUGGACGCAAAGUUCAACAAUGAGCAGCUUCUGUUAUAUAUACAAUAAAACGUGCUGGCCAAUCAAACAUUGGUACGUAGCUUAGUGGCGUGAUUGCUUCAAAGUAACUUGGAGGCUUCGGCGCGCAUGACCCAUUUUAAAGAAAAAAAAUAAGACAUAACCAAAAUAAAGAAAUAAAUAAUAAAAAAAAUAUGCUACGUGCCAAUUCGAAUGCCACUAUGGACAAGAACAUUUAAAAUAAUUCAAUAAAAUAAGUGAUGACACAUAACAUUUGUCAAAGAUUUAUGACAUUAGAAAAUUAGGACUUGUGACAUAGCAAAUAUUGUCACUAGAUGGAAUUGGACUAGUUGUAUGACGUUUGUUAUGACAUCCAACUUUUUAUUGUCACUAAGUAGAGAUACAUGAAAUAGAAUGUCAUAAAUCGGAUGAUAUAAUGACAUUAUUACCUUUUGUCAUACUAAAAACGUCAAAAAACCACACAUAUCUUGUAGUGGAACCCCAAAAAAAUCUACUCCCUCCAUCCCAAAUUAUAAAAAUAUUAAACAAGGCCUUAACAAAUUCUGGAUCCAAACAACGCUCAGUUCGAACUCAUCUGGCAGGAGGAUGGUGUACUACCAGCUGAUGAUGAGUAGUGGGAUCCUAACGUGGGUAGUGUUGGUGUCCUGGCAACACAUAGCUUGCACGUAGGCGUGCUCAUUCUGGGCCGUCCAUUCCAUGCUUGCACUUGCACGGACCACACGCGACGCGAUCCCUCGUUUAAUUUGUCCGCGAUCGAUCGCGGCUGGUGUCCCUGGCGCUGGCGGCCUGAUGAUGAUCCAACAGCAGUGCCAGUACAGCACACCAACGCCAACGUACGCCGAGGAGGAGGAGGAGGAUAAAGGAGAAGAAGAAGACCAAAAUCCAUCCAUGGAGUCGCACGCACGGGCCUCACGAGAGGAGAGACCAUGACCUGUGGCCCCUCGUAGCAGUGGCAAACCAGGGGGCAGGGGCAGACUAGGCCGUGUGUGGGGAUUGCACGCCGCCGAUUUCGUGUCCUUGCAGCCUCCUUCUCAGUUCUCGCACACUGCCACACACACAGCUGACCUGCCGCUGCCGCUGCCACUGCCAGGAAGGUAGGGAGAGGCCAGGAUGCCCCGCGGCGGCUUCUCGGGGUCCCUCAGGUCGCCCAAGAUCGACGUCGUCAUCGACAUGGGGAACCCCUUCCUCAACCGCGCACCGUCGACGGCUUCCUCAAGAUCGGCGCCGUCGGCGCCUGCAAGGUGGCCGCCGAGGAGACCUUCGACUGCCUCCACAGGGGUGAGUACGUUCGCCUCUUCCUCCGUUCCUCGACCCCUUUAUUCGUUGUAUCCAGUCAUGCUGCAUUCCAUAGAGCCCAGUAACCUUGUUAGAUGCAAAAAAAAGUUUCGAUUUUGCGGAACUCAUGUCAGACAUUGAUACGGUGUUGCCCCCAAAACGUUUGGCCGUUGCGCUCCACUCUACGCAGAUAGAUAGAUUACUAACCAUGAUGUUGGAUUAUGGAUAAUGGACUGGAGUGGAAUCGCUCUGCCUCUGCAAGUGGAUUCAGAGAGCGAAACAAGGGGUGCAGACAUAACCCCAGACUAUAAUUUGUAGUGCAGCCUGAAUAUCACACACUCAGUCUUUAUUGAGUUUUUCUGUGCAGUUCUGUAACCUGCAUUUUACAUUCAGUCAUGAUUGAAUAUUUGAAUGACUCAAAUGGCGACGAAAAUAUCUGUUUUUGUUACUGAAGAUCCACUUCAUAUACACACUUGUACUGAAGAUCUUACUGAAUUUCUUACUGGUCAAAAUGGUACUUACCUCAAUAGAUCUUACUGGCAAAAUGGUACACCUCAAUAGAUCUCACUGAAGAUCGCCUCAACUUUGAAUUUAACCAAUGCUAUUUCAGAAUGAUAGCAGUAUUGUAUUCCUGUUGUUUACUGACAAGGAAAUCAUAUGCUUGCAUUUCUUUUGUGCUACAUUUUACUGGCAAUCAGAGAAGAAAUUGUUAUGACAAAACCUCUUCUGUUUGCAGGGGAUGUUUCAAAGCACAGGAUUGAACAUGCUGUAAGUCAUAUAUCCGCAACCUUUGCAUAUCUGAAUUUUUUAAAAACUGCUCUAGCUCCAGGCCUCAUUUCAAUUGGGGAUCUUAAAUAUCGUGAUCCAAAUGCCUAGCGAUGCCAGUUACGUGAUUCUGUUAUGACCGGCGUCCAGUAUCAAAGGAGGCUAAGCCACCAUCGGCCAGGGGUUUAGGCGCAGGAGUUAGGGGCUAACAGCCCAUAUUUAUCUUUAUUUGUUUAUUUUCAUAAUUGAAGCAAUUAUUCAUAUAUAGGAGUUGUAAUUCUUGUGGACAGAAUUAAGCAAGAGUAAAUCUUAUUACUCGGCUUCCCUUGGGAGCCGGGAGUUUGCUCUAGCCGUCGCCUCCGUUCUCUUCUUCCUCGCGCGACCACGGCGCCCGCCGCCGUGCCGCGCACCCAGCCCCCCAACACACAUACAACCUUCGCUCGACCAAGGGAAGGGUACAGGUCCGUAUCAACCUGGUAUCAGCCAUGUCGAUCCCACCCUCAGCCACCGUUGUUCCGCCUUCAUCCACAACGGCGCCGCCCGUCUCCUCCGCUCUGCCCCAGGCGCCCAUGUCGACAUCGGCCCUGGUGUUGACCUCUUCACAGCCGCUGGCGUAGGGCGCGCCAGGGGCGCCGCGCGCCGUCUUCACGCCCGAGCAAACGACAUCCACGAUCGUCGAACUCAGCCACGACUUGGCUGAGCUGCGGCUGACGAUGACCAUGCUGCAGCUUUACAACAAUUCGACGCCGCAAUUUGGCGCACCGCCGCAGCAGCUGCUCCUGACGCAGUCGUCCCCGUUGGUCGCUUUCCACCACUCGGCGCCGGUCUCCUACCCCUACGGGAUGCCCGCCGACGUCGGGUUUUGGACGACAACAACGCCUACUUCGUCGUCCGUUCUGAUCCACCAGCUCCGUUUUCCGUCAUCGCCGUCCCCAGCGGCCAACUGCUUUGGCUCGCCCCGCCGCUAGGGGAGGACCUCUAGCCGCGGCGCCCACGCCUACUGCGCCGGCACUAACCGGCACCGCUACACCCGCCCACACCUUCCGUCGCUUGACACCGGCGGAGAUGCUCGAGCGCCGUCACCAGGGACUUUGUUACAACUGCGACGAGCAGUAUGUGUGCGGCCACGUCUGCCCACGUGUCUUCUACCUGGAGUCCUCUGACUACAUCGACGACGACGUGUUCACCGCAACAGAGGACACCGCGGACGCCACUGUCGAGAGCUAGCGCCACCAGAUGGCGCUGCUGCUCAUGCUCUGGUUGUCUCCGUGUAUGCUCUUGCAGGGAUCCACACCUACCACACCAUGCUGCUGCCCGUCACCAUCAAUGGGGAAUGCCUACUCGCGCUGCUGGCUCCACCCACACCUUCCUCUAGGACACGGUCAUGCGCCACCUGGGGCUUGUUCCGCGUGGUGGCAACAACCUCCGUGUCACUAUCGCGAACGGGGAGCGUUUUCCGUGCAAGGGGAUCGCCCGAGAUAUGCUCGUCCUCAUCGGCGGUGAGUCCUUCGCCAUCACGUGUGUGGGGCUCGCCCUCGGCUGCUUCGACUUCAUCAUCAGCGUCGACUUCCUAGGGGCUUUGGGACCUCUUCUGUGGGACUUCGAGGACCUCACCGUCUCCUUCUAGCGAGGCGACCAGUGCGUCACAUGGCAGUGCGUGGGUCCCCCGGGUGCUUCUUCACACCAGCCGCGCCUGGCCGCGACCACGGCCGACCAGCAGCGGCCACUAUUGGACUAGCUCCUACAGCAGCACAUGGCCAUCUUCGACAAGCCUCGUGGCCUCUCGCUCGUGCGCUCCUACGACCACCGCUUCCACCUCCUACCGGGGACCGCGCCGGUGGUGGUGCGGCCCUACCGAUACCCGCAGCUCUAGAAGGACAAGCUGGAGCGGCAAUGUGCCGCCAUGUUGGAGCAGGGCAUUAUUCGGCCGAGCACGUCACCAUUCUCCGCCCCUGUGCUGCUCGUCAAGAAGUCCGACGGGUCCUGGCGCUUCUGCAUCGACUACCGCGUGCUCAACGACAGGAUGUCCAAGGACAAGUUGCCGAUCCCGGUGGUCGACGAGCUCCGCGGGGCACGUUUCUUCACCAAGCUGGACCUCCGCUCGGGCUAUCGCUAAGUGCGCAUGCACCCGGCGGCCAUCGAGAAGACCGCUUUCCGCACCCACCACGACCACUUCGAGUUCUUGGUGAUGCCGUUUGGGCUGUCCAACGCUCCGGCAACGUUCCAAGCCCUGAUGAACGACGUCCUCUAGCCUUUUCUUCGCGGGUUCGUGCUGGUAUUCUUCGAUGACAUCUUGAUCUACAACUCAUUGUGGUCCAAGCACCUCCAGCACGUCGUCCUCGUCUUCUCCGCUUUGAGGGCUCACGGCCUCUACCUCAAGAGGUCCAAGUGCUCCUUUGGGACACUCUCCGUCGACUACCUCAGGCACGUCAUCUCUGCUGAUGGCGUCGCUAUGGACAGUGACAAGGUGGCUGUGGUCGCCGCGUUCACCUCGGGGCGUCUUUGGUUUUCUCGGCCUUGCGGGCUACUACUGCAAGUUCAUCCGCGACUUCGGCUCCAUCGUAGCACCACUCAAUCGUCUCCUGCGCAAGGAGGCGUUUGCUUGGACGUCGGAAGCGCGGCGGCCUACGACGCCCUCAAGAGGGCCUUGUCAUCAGCCCCUGUUUUGCAGAUGCUGGAUUUCACUCGUGAGUUCGUCGUCAACUGCGACGCCUCAGGCGCAGGCGUUGGCGCUGUUCUCCACCAGGGGUCGGGUCCCCUAGCAUUCUUCAGCAGACCCUUCGUCACCCGCCACAUCAAGCUCGCGGCCUAUGAGCGCGAUCUCAUCGGGCUAGUGCAGGCGGUCCGGCAUUGGCGGCCGUACCUAUGGGGACGUCGUUUCCUCGUCCGCACCGACCACUACAGCUUGAAGUUUUUGCUCGACCAGCGCCUUUCCACUGUUCCGCAACACCACUGGGUUAGCAAGCUGCUCAGGUUUGACUUCGCGGUGGAAUACCGCCCCGGCCGACUCAACUCGGUGACGGAUGCGCUGUCCCGACGCGACGAGGACGCAGUUACAGAACUUGCCUUGUCCGGGCCAUCCUUCGCCCUCUACGAUGACAUUCGGGCAGCCACUCGGGAGGACCCGGUGGCACGCGGCCUCCUGCAGCAGCAGGCCGCGGGGACGCUGGAGGCGCCCUGGACCAUCGCGGAUUGGUUCCUCCUUCGUGGCAAACGCGUCUACGUUCCCGACCUGCAGGACUUGUGCCAUCAGGUGGUGACCCUGGCACACACUACAGGGCAUGAGGGCGUCCACAAGACCCUCUUGCGUCUGCGCAAUGAUUUCUACAUCCCCAACGACCGCAAGCUUGUGCAAGACUACGUCUGCACGUGUGAUGUGUGCCAGCGCAACAAGACGCCCAUGACACAGCCGGCCGGUUUACUACAGCCCUUGGAUGUGCCUUCCCAAGUUUGGACCGACACCUCCAUGGAUUUCAUCGAUGCCCUUCCCAAGGUCCAUGGCAAGUCGGUCAUCUUGACGGUGGUGGACCGCUUCUCCAAGAAUGCGCACUUCAUCACUCUCAGCCACCCCUACACGGCCGCGUCGGUGGCCCGUGCUUUCUUCGAGGGGAUUGUGCGGCUUCAUGGCUUUCCCACCUCCAUUGUAGUGACCGCAAUCCAGUUUUCACUAGCCACUUGUGGAGGGAUUUGUUUCGCCUUGCAGGUGUGAAACAGCGGCUCAGCACGGCCUUUCACCCUCAGACGGAUGGCCAGUCUGAGGUUGUCAACAAGGUGAUCGCCAUGUACUUGCGUUGUGCGACCGACGACCGGCCGCGCUCAUGGGUCGACUGGCUACCGUGGGCGGAAUACUGCUACAACACGUCGUACCACACGGCACUUCGGGCGACUCCAUUCGAGAUUGUCUACGGUGGCCCACCACCUCCCCUUUUGCCUCACCAAGAGGGGGCGGCUGAGACGGAGGAUGCAGACGUCAUGCUCCGGGACCGCGACGUGUUCCUGGUCGAGGUCCGGGAGCGCCUCCUCCAGGCACAGCAACACGCCAAGGAGCGCUAUGACGAGCACCAUCGGGCUGUGGACAUUGCUGUGGGCGAUUGGGUGCUGCUCCGACUUCUUCACCGCCCCACACACACGCUCGCGACGCCAGCCAAGGGCAAGCUUCGUCCUCGUUAUGUUGGUCCGUUCUGUGUGCUGGAACGCAUUGGGUCGGUGGCCUAUCGUCUACAGCUGCCCGAGACUACACGCCUCCAUAAUGUUUUCCACAUCGGGCUACUCAAGCAGUGGCGUGGUGAACCUCCUGUGACGCCGGCGGUGGUGCCACCAGUCUUCGAGGGGCGCCUGCUUCCUGCCCCGGAGAAGGUUCUGUGCGCGCAACUACGCCGCGAACAGUGGCAGCUGUUGGUCAAAUGGCGCGGCCUUCCGGAUGAUGCUACGACAUGGGAAGCUCUCGACGACUUCAAAGCCCUAUACCCCGAUGUCCAGCUCGAGGACGAGCUGUUUGUCGACGCGGGGAGAGAUGUUAUGACCGGCGUCCAGUAUCAAAGGAGGAGCCGGCCCAUUAGUGGCUAAAGCCACCAUCGGCCAGGGGUUUAGGCGCAGGAGUUAGGGGCUAACAGCCCAUAUUUAUCUUUAUUUGUUUAUUUCCAUAAUUGAAGCAAUUAUUCAUAUAUAGGAGUUGUAAUUCUUGUGGACAGAAUUAAGCAAGAGUAAAUCUUAUUACUCGGCUUCCCUUGGGAGCCGGGAGUUUGCCCUAGCCAUCGCCUCCGUUCUCUUCUUCCUCGCGCGACCACGGCGCCCCGCCACCGUGCCGCGCACCCAGCCCCCCAACACACGUACAACCUUCGCUCGACCAAGGGAAGGGUACAGGUCCCUAUCAGAUUCUUUGCUUGCAGUUCCUAAAUGUGGAUCGUGAUUUACUUGACAUUCCAAAAACACAUGUCAUGACUUAUGAAUACUGCAGAUCUCUAGUUGUAGUCUCAGUCUAGUGUACUGUCAUCUCAGGAAUUCUGUGUUACUGGAAAUGUUGAACUAAACCCCUGCACCUCUUUUGCAUCUUGCAUCAUGCAUGCUUGUGUAUCCCUGAAAAAUCUUUGAGCAACUUCUGGUCUACACAUCAAACUGAUACUAUGUAUGCAGCUGAAGAAAAUGUACAGGGAGGGCGCAUACUGGGGUAACUAAUUGACCAAUUUGUGCCUUUUUGUCGCUUCAAACCCACAUAAUUUGUUUUGGCUUCUUUCCCUUCUUCAUUUAUACUCUGACUAAUGUACAAUAGUAUAAGUGCGUGAUAUUGUUGUAUUAUCGUGUAAGAUGCUAUUAGUCAUAUUAUUGUAAGACAAGCACUUCAAAGUUUUUGUGGAGCUACUUCUCAUAUGCAAUGAGGUGGUUGUAUAGGGCAACAGAGAAAGUUACAUAGAAAAUGACAAACCCUUUCACGACACAUAGUCAUUUCAUAUUUAUUUUACUUUGAGCCAAUUGUGAAUUCGUGAAUCUCGAGAUAUGCCGGCUCAGUACUUCAGAUGUGUUCAUAGGGUAGGGUUUGUGUAAAUAUGAUACGUAUUGUGAGCGUCUGUGUUGUAAUAUAUAAUUUUAGAAAAAAAAGGGACCAAGCUAGUGCAAAUGAUUUCUACCUCCAUGGAUCUUAUUUCUGGGUUCCCCCUGUUUUUACUGUAAUUUUUAAAUGUUGCUCUCCUCUUUCUAAUCCAGUAUAAGUACUACCUAGCUACUUUGUGUUUACAUGUUGCUCUCCUUCAAACUGGCAUCAGAUAAUUUGUGUUUACUCGUUGGGGGAGACAGGAGACACUAGCUCCUGCAUUUGUGUAGCCCGGCACACGUAGCUUCUCAGAGAUGCAUACGUGGCUCUGGACACAUCCAAAGUGAUUGCGCUACUCUUGAAUGCAUAUUCAGGCUUGACACCAACACAGUGAUCCAUCACUUACUAUGGGCCGUAGCCAGGGACCAAGUAGACCUGUUAAACAUGUUUACAUAGCAAUGAUAGUGUUUUUGAAUUUUUCUAGUUUUUUUAAAAUCUAUUUUUCUAGAGCUAAAUUUAUUUUUUGAAGCGGAGAUCUAAGUAUUUUAUGUAGAUUCUCUAUAAUCUUUUUUUUAAGAAUUUUAAAUGCUUAGAGACAUUGGUACCAAUUUUUUAACUAAAAAGGAUAAACCCAAUUUAUCCUCUCUGACGCCAUGUUAACAAUUGCUGUUCAAAACCAUCCAGAGUCGAAACAAACAAUUUUAAAAGUUAAGGAGACCUAAAAAUCUGAUCUUAAAUCUUUCUCUAAUAUAUAAUUAUAAAAAUUUCAGUCCACCAGGUAUCUUUCUUUCCGCCAAUAUUCUAUUUCCCGUGGGUGGCUGCCCAGGACUCGUCCGACAAGGAGGCAGGGCAGGAGUGCCCUGGCCGUGGUCCGACGUGCCAUGGCGAGGCGGGGCUCUCGCAACGCAGCAUCGCACAGAAGAGGAGAACGGGCGGCUGCGCUCGGGUGCCCUUCUGCUCACGGUCGACGAGUGCGAGCCAGAGCACGCCGUGGUGGUGGCGGCUCUAUUGUGGCGCGAUUGAGGAGGCUAGCUCGUCCGUGAUGCCAGCAGACGGAGGCAGAGAGGUCGCAGUUGCCGUGGAUUGCGACGCGGUGAGGCCCUAGUGAUGGGCGGACGCACUCCUGAAGUAGGGUCGCGGUGGUGGAGUUGCCGGUGUUGUGGCACGAUCAGGUGCUCGGCGGAUCAGAAGGGGAGGAGAGGAGUGGCAGAGGUGCUCAGCGAAGCUCGUCGCGACCAUAGCAGGGAGAGGAAAGGAGAAGGCGUGGUGGCGGCGGCGCUGAGGAGCUCCAAAAGAUGGGGGCGACGGCGGCCAUGGCUUAAAUAGUGCGCAGCACCUAGGGUUUGAGGAGCUCCGUUCAUCCUCGUCGUCAUGCCGUAGCGGGGCACGUGGCGCACAUCGAAGGGCAAGCAGGCAGGGUGUGCGCGGCUCGGCCUCCGAGCAGCGGCGGUGGCGCUGGCUCCUAGGAGCAGAGCACAUUAAGGUUAAGGGAUGGGCGCCGGCGGCUUGGGCCGCGCAUGGAUUCUGGGUCGCUGAGCUGGGCCGAGGGUGGACGCGGGGUGAAGUGGGCCAGCCUCGCAGCUGGGCUGCGCGGGGCACUGCACGACUAGGCCAGGAGGAGAAGUGGGCCACACGCGCGUAGGCUUGGGCCGUGGGAAGGAGGAGGUUAGCCGGGCCUGGCGGGGAAGAGGGAGGUGGGCGGGCGAAUGGGGGGAGGGCAGGCCGGGCAGGAAAAACGGAAUAUGCAUGAUAUGUCUAGUUUUGAAUAAAUCUUGAACACAAAAUAUGUUGUAUCUCCCGUUGCAACAUAUGGGCAUUUUUGUUAGUUUUUAUAAAGCAAAAACCCACUAACCUAUUUUUCUUAUUUCAUCAGCUAGCAUAGUCUCUACCGUCCAUACCAAACAGGCAAUAUUAAUAUACUACUCCAUCCUACGUCUACAGUAGAGUUUGAGUGCUUCUUCUAUGAACUGCCCGAUCCGUUCCAAGAUGACAGAAGCCAAUGAUCAAGGCGGAUCCUUCUCUGCAAAAUUCCACAGCAGCCGGCAGCCAGGCAUACAUCGCAAACUUCUGUCAUCCUCAGUUUCAAAGCUUCCUCUCAAUUCUUGCUGAGCCCCAUCCUAUACAUUUUUGUUAAUUUUUAAGUAGAACGAUUUGUUUUUAAUUUUUUACUUGCUAUUUAUCCAGUGUUUCUUUUAGUUUCUGCUGACAUGAACCUCUGACAUACAUCAUAUACGUUGUAUAGUAACUAAAUAGUAUUUUUCUCUGACGCUCUUUAUCAUGUUUGAUGAGAAACAUCAUCUCGAUUUCUACUUGCUCUCAACUGUUGGUGUCCCACAUCCCUAUAUGAGUUUUUUUUUGUAGAAUGUAUGGGUCGAUUCCGUUGCAGUUGCGUGAUGUACGUACACAUGCUAUUGUGCAAAUUAUAAAUAAUGUCUUUCGCACUUCCUACCCUAAUGCAUUUGUCGUUCACAAAAUACAAUUUCUUAAACUCCUGUAGCAACACGUGAGGUAUUCACCUAGUUUUAUAAAAAGGGGAUCGGACAAUCCUUUGUCAAAAUUAAAAUAUACAUGCAAACCACAUAUGCCACUUCAUAAAACAGCUACGAUAUCAAAGACAGCAAAUAUAUCAAACUCUGUACUCAUGUGCGUUUGAUAUUUCAGUUCCCUUACUCACAAACAAGAAAAAAAAUGGAUUGGUCUGAACCGAAAGAAAAUAUAAAAGCACUAGCUAGCCACGCCAUUUGAGCGGGCCACCUUGCUAGUUACUCCCUCCAUCGUCGUUUGACUUUUUUUUACCUCAAGUUUGACCACUCGUCUUAUUCAAAAAAUUUAUACAAAUAUAGUCAAAUUUAAGUCAUUCUUGAAGAACUUCUAUUAAUAAACCAAUACACAACAAAAAAAAAGUGAUAUUUUGUACAAAACUUUGAAUAAAACGAGUGGUCAAACUUGAUAUUAAAAAAGUCAAACGACUUACAAUUUACAAUUUAGAAUGGAUUGAGUAUAUAUGAACGUAAGUUGAUGGACAUGACAAUAUAUUAUAACUAAAAAUUACAAUGCAUCGGUACCAACGGUUGCAUUUGCCGUAUUCACGACGAAAUCGAUUACCACAAGAGGAAUGUGACUGACAAGGUGCCAGUCGGGCCCUGCCCCUCGCUUGUAACGCUCCGCCAAACCAGGGCAACCAUAAAUGCGCAAUUCCUCAAGAGCAGUUAGGCGUUGUAUGGAUUGGGGCAAGUAUUGAAGGGCAGGGGAAUGCUUGAUAUAAAGCGAACGAAGCGCAGAGAGUUGUCCAAUCCACUCUGGCAGCACCGUCAGUGAUGACAGUUCGAGAUGUUCAAGCGAGGUGAGGUGCUGAAUCGCCUCUGGGAACUGCUUCAAAUCGCCCAAUCCCAAUCCAAGGUGUCGCAGAGAGUGCAGUUCUCCAAGCCAGUCAGACAACGUGCCAACGGCGGGGCAUUCGUAGAUGCGGAGACGCUCGAGAGAGGUGAGCUUCCGCAUGCUCUCUGGUAACUGUGUCAGGUCAUUGCACCUGUAAAUACACAACUCUUUCAGCUCAGUGAGGUGCUGCAGCAGUUCCCAGCCAGAUGGUGAUCCUGUAACGUUGCUUAGCCCUAGACUCUUGAGGCGAGGGACCAACGCAUGCAUGCUGGGCAGCUGAUGGGAGAACCUUCCUGUGGAUAGCAGCUGCCCAUUGAUUCUGUUUAAAGACAUAUGCACCAACGAUGGUGGAAAGUAGGGGCUCACAUUUAAUUUCGGGCAGCCAUAUAUUUCUAGACUGGACAGGACAGGGAAAAGAUGUUGUGCUGCCAAUUCUUUCUCCCCAGUUUCAAAACCACUUGAUGUAGUCCACAGCUCCUCUAAAUUAGGCAUUUCCGCCAGAACAAGGUACUUCAGUGAAGGCAACUCAACAAAUCCUCUCAUAUGCCUCAAGUUUGGAAAUCUUUUUACCGUUAACCAAGUUAAACAAAGGAAAUGGGAUGCGAUAGUUUGCUUCAGCAUUAUACCACCUUCAAAAUAUGAAGAAUCAUUUUGCUUCAUCAUCCAUCCUGGCAGGCAGGGGCCUCUGUAAUUAUAGAUAUCCAAGCUCUCAAUUUGCGAUGGUGGUUCAAGAGCGUUCAGCACACCCCAAUCAUGUUCCAUAUCUGACACCAACUCUUCUUCAGAAUCACUUAGAGACCAGUUCAGCUCCAAGUUUUGUAUGUGACUCUUCCGCUUCAAGCAAGCCUUCUCUGCAUCACUUGGAUCCUUCAAAUACUUAAGGUUGGUAAUUUCCAAGCGACCACCUAUCAUAUCAAGGUUUUCUAGCUCUGAGAUCCUCGCAUCAUCUGCACCACACCCAACAACAAACAAUCCCAGCUCUCUUAAACGGGUCAGCUGUCCCAACCCUGUUGGUAAGCAGCAGAGUUUACUACAAUGCUUUAUGUUCAAAACUGCGAGCCUUUUCAAGUUUGCUAUGCCCUUAGGCAACUCCCGUAGCUCAUUGCAUCCCUCAAGGUUAAUACAUUCCAGAGUAUCGAUCGAUGUAACCCAUUGAGGUAGCAUGGUAACUUUGGUUUCAGAAAGGUUCAGAGUACGCAAUGUAGGACAGGAUAAUGUGCUUGGCAGGUCUUGCAAAUCCGUACAACCAUGAAAGUUAAUAGUUCGCAAGUUUUUGAACUCCCCAAUGAUGUCUGAUGGUAGUUGUUGCAGAGAUGAACAGUACUCUAUAUCAAGUACACAUAGGUUUCCAAUUCUACCUAAAGAGCUUGGUAUCUCUCGGAGCUUGCUGCAGGCAUAUAGUUGCAAGGACUGAAGAACAUAACAGUCACCAAUGGACUGAGGCAAACUCUCAAGAUCAGUAACCCAACGCAACUCUAGAGUCCUUAGCUUCCGAAGCGUUCCAACAGACUCAGGUAAUGUCACGAAACCUUUGCAGUCAACAAAAUUGAGUGACUGCAAGUUCCAAAACCUCGAGAUAGCUUCCGGAACUGUUGUACAACUAACAUUAUGGAUUUCAAGAUACCCAAGAUACUCAAACUUUAAUAUGAAUAGUGACAACGGAGUAUCAGUUGCAUAGUCCAAAACAACACUGCGCAUACAGCAACUACUCUUCACUGUGGUAUCAAAAGAUGUCUUACUGUCAGAGAUAUAUAGAGCACGGACCUUGUCAAAUACGCCCUUGUCAACAUUCUCAGUGAAUGAAGUCAAAGAUAAAUAUCUAUACCUAUGAGUAAAUUCUUCUGUUGUAUGAAUUGGUACACAAGUCACCAGCUCAUCCUUUAGUAUCUGCCGAGUGAGAUCAUGGAUCAAAUCGUGCAUGGUGUAUAUAUCAGUAUUCCAGCUCCCAUAAACUUCCUGAAGAAAUCUGACUUUUACAAGAGAAUCUAAGUAGUCUCUUCCGACAUCUUCGGGUUGCUCUCCAUUCAUUGCAUUGAUGAAUCCAUGAGCUAUCCAUUGGGCAAUCAAACGAUCUUUCCAGAUUCCAUAGCCCUUCGGGAAUAUGGAGCAAAACGUAAAACACUGCUUCAGUUCAUCUGCCAAAUGAAUAUAGCUCAACUUCAAGGAUGCAAACACUCUGUCUUUUAUACUCUGAACCUUCCAUAAAUUAUUCUCUCUUAUGGCCCUCCACGUACUUAUUUGCUUCUUGUCACGAAGGACUGCUCCAAGAGUUUGAAUUGCUAACGGCACCCCACCACAUCCCUUGAUAAUCUCUUUUCCGACUUGUACCUCAUCGGAGCUCAAUUCUUGCUCUGCCAACCCAGAACCCUUCAGGAAUAAGUUCCAACUCUCAGACUCUGAUAAGAAUGCCAACUCAAAUGUAUAUCUUGAUUCCACAGCUUGUGCAACCUUUCGAUCACGAGUGGUUAAAACAAUCCUUGUUUCAGGUGCGCCACAUUUUAGCUGCACCAUGAACUGUUCCCAGUCAUGUCUGUCCUCAUGCCAAGCAUCAUCAAGGAUAAGAAGAAACUUCUUAUUGCUCAACUUCUCGGAGAUUUUUUGGACCAUGUGCUGUGGGGGAUGACGAUCUGAAUUAUCUCCAACAAUCGUUUCAAAUAGCUUGCCGAUGAGCUUCUGAACAUCAAACUCUUGAGACACAUGGACCCAGAAUAUUUCACCUCCAAAGUGCUCCUUUAUCUUGACGUCAUGACAAAUGUGUUUCGCCAAAGUAGUUUUGCCUGACCCCCCUAAUCCGAUG